This 433-nucleotide ribosomal RNA is filed under the name uncultured bacterium. RNAcentral's name for it is "partial 16S ribosomal RNA". It matches the Rfam family "Bacterial small subunit ribosomal RNA", at positions 29 to 507 of the family's 1533-position model. The record is from RNAcentral.
AACGAACGCUGGCGGCAUGCCUAACACAUGCAAGUCGAACGAGACCUUCGGGUUUAGUUGCUAACGGUUGCGUAACGCGUGGGAACCUGCCCUUAGGUUCGGAAUAACUCCCCGAAAGGGGUGCUAAUACCGGAUAAUGUCUUCGGACCAAAGAGUUAUCGCCAUUGGAUGGGCCCGCGUUGGAUUAGCUAGUUGGUAGGGUAAGAGCCUACCAAGGCGACGAUCCAUAGCUGGUCUGAGAGGAUGAUCAGCCACACUGGGACUGAGACACGGUCCAGACUCGUACGGGAGGCAGCAGUGGGGAAUAUUGGCCAGUGGGCGAAAGCGUAGUCCAGCAGUGUCGCGUGAGUGAUGAAGGCCUUAGGGUUGUAAAGCUCUUUUACCCGGGAUGAUAAUGACAGUACCGGGAGAAUAAGCUCCGGCUAACUCCGUG